This 88-nucleotide transfer RNA is filed under the name bacterium. RNAcentral describes it as "tRNA-Leu". It matches the Rfam family "tRNA". From Rfam's summary of the family: Transfer RNA (tRNA) molecules are approximately 80 nucleotides in length. Their secondary structure includes four short double-helical elements and three loops (D, anti-codon, and T loops). The record is from RNAcentral.
GCCCGGGUGGCGGAAUUGGUAGACGCGCUACGUUCAGGUCGUAGUAAGGUUUAUCCUUGUGGGAGUUCGAGUCUCCCCCCGGGCACCA